RNAcentral lists this ribosomal RNA (1003 nucleotides) under Raffaelea subalba. RNAcentral describes it as "SSU rRNA". It matches the Rfam family "Eukaryotic small subunit ribosomal RNA", at positions 81 to 1094 of the family's 1831-position model. The record is from RNAcentral. Lineage: Eukaryota; Fungi; Ascomycota; Sordariomycetes; Ophiostomatales; Ophiostomataceae.
GCGAAACUGCGAAUGGCUCAUUAAAUCAGUUAUCGUCUAUUUGAUAGUACCUUACUACUUGGAUAACCGUGGUAAUUCUAGAGCUAAUACAUGCUGCAAAGCCCGACUUCGGAAGGGUUGUAUUUAUUAGAUUAAAAACCAAUGCCCUCCGGGGCUCACUGGUGAUUCAUGAUAACUUCUCGAAUCGCACGGCCUUGCGCCGGCGAUGGUUCAUUCAAAUUUCUGCCCUAUCAACUUUCGACGGCUGGGUCUUGGCCAGCCGUGGUGACAACGGGUAACGGAGGGUUAGGGCUCGACCCCGGAGAAGGAGCCUGAGAAACGGCUACUACAUCCAAGGAAGGCAGCAGGCGCGCAAAUUACCCAAUCCCGACACGGGGAGGUAGUGACAAUAAAUACUGAUACAGGGCUCUUUUGGGUCUUGUAAUUGGAAUGAGUACAAUUUAAUUCCCUUAACGAGGAACAAUUGGAGGGCAAGUCUGGUGCCAGCAGCCGCGGUAAUUCCAGCUCCAAUAGCGUAUAUUAAAGUUGUUGCAGUUAAAAAGCUCGUAGUUGAACCUUGGGCCUGGCUGGCCGGUCCGCCUCACCGCGUGCACUGGUCCGGCCGGGCCUUUCCCUCUGGGGAGCCGCAUGCCCUUCACUGGGCGUGCCGGGGAACCAGGACGUUUACUUUGAAAAAAUUAGAGUGUUCAAAGCAGGCUUAUGCUCGGAUACAUUAGCAUGGAAUAAUAGAAUAGGACGCGUGGUUCUAUUUUGUUGGUUUCUAGGACCGCCGUAAUGAUUAAUAGGGACAGUCGGGGGCAUCAGUAUUCAGCUGUCAGAGGUGAAAUUCUUGGAUUUGCUGAAGACUAACUACUGCGAAAGCAUUUGCCAAGGAUGUUUUCAUUAAUCAGGAACGAAAGUUAGGGGAUCGAAGACGAUCAGAUACCGUCGUAGUCUUAACCAUAAACUAUGCCGACUAGGGAUCGGACGGUGUUAUUCUUUGACCCGUUCGGCACCUUACACG